This 354-nucleotide long non-coding RNA is filed under the name Cricetulus griseus (Chinese hamster). Its description in RNAcentral is "lncRNA (ENSCGRG00000026296.1)". Lineage: Eukaryota; Metazoa; Chordata; Mammalia; Rodentia; Cricetidae. The record is from RNAcentral.
AAGAACUCUGUCAAUAGUGCACUUAAUGUUUGACAAUGUCUCACAAUGUCACUAAAGCACUACAGAGAUGCUGCCAACCCUGAUUACACAUACUCUCCACAAUUUAAGGUCACAGAAGAAGCCAGCAGGAUAAGAUAAGCCCAAAAGUCUGCCAGGAACCUGUGGCUCAGGUCAAUCUCAGAAGAACCUGUUCCUCCAUGGCAUGCCACCUGUCUGUGAAAGGCACAGUAAGAAGGCAUCAGCCCACCAGACAACCUAGAAAUAUUUCUGACUCUACCCAGUACUUGACAUCACAUACCCACUGAACAAAGUAAGGCAGAUGGGGAAUUUCUCUUGUGAAGGAAGAUCAGAGGC